GGGAAGGAGUAGAUUUAGAUCCCUUUACAAGAUCAUUUGGAGGGCAAGUCUGGUGCCAGCAGCCGCGGUAAUUCCAGCUCCAAUAGCGUAUAUUAAGUUGUUGCGGUUAAAAAGCUCGUAGUUGGAUUUCUGCUGACGACGACCGGUCCGCCCUCUGGGUGAGAAUCUGGCUCGGCCUGGGCAUCUUCUUGGAGAACGUAGCUGCACUUGACUGUGUGGUGCGGUAUCCAAGACUUUUACUUUCAAAAAAAAAAGAAUAUUUCAAAAAACGGACACACCCCGUGACAUCACAUUACCCAUGGAAAAAAAAGAUAGGACCCUGGCUCUUAUACCUGUUGGCGUCUAGACCCGAGGAGAAUGAUUUUAAAAACAAAAACACCGCCCCCAUUCGAAUUUAAUCUCUCAGAGGUGAAAAUUCUUGGAUUUGUUAAAAACGAGAAAAAUUGCGAAAAAACUUUGCUCCACAGAGAGUGUUUUCAUUGAUCAAAAAAAAAAGUGAGGGGAGCGAGAGGACGAUCAGAGACUCCUCCUAGUCUUAAUCCCAAAAAAAAACCCAACUGAGAGAUCGGAGGGCGUUAUUUGUAUGACUCCCCCACCCGCACCUUAAGAGAAAUCAAAAUCUUUGGGUUCUCGGGGGAGAGUAUGGUCGCAAGGCCAAAACUUAAAGAAAUAGAAGGAAGGGCCCCCCCAGGAGGGGAGCCUGCCGCUAAUUUUGACAUAACACGGGAAAAGAAAUUUCCCCAGCCCCAGACAUAUGAAGGGAUUCACAGAGAGAGAUCUUUUUUUAGUUUAUGGGGGGGGGGGCGCAGCCCCUUUUUUAGGGGGGGGAGAUUGGUUUGGUUAAAUCCGUUAAAGAAAGGGAUCUUACCUCCUUAAAUAGGUAAAGGGUACCUCGUUUACGCGGGCAGCUUUUUUGAGGGGGGUUUGGGUGUUAAACCAAGGAAGUUUGGGGCAAUAACAGGUUUGUGAUGCCCUUAGAUGUUUUGGGGGGCCCGCGGGGUCCCCUGAAGAGUUAAAGGGGGUUUUCCCCUUCCCCGAGGGGGGGGGGAUAUUUGUGUUAAAUCACAUGGUGAGGGGGAUUGAGUAUUGCAAUUAAUAAUCUUCGACGAGGAAUUCCCCGAAAGGAGGAAUCAGCAGGUCGGGAUGACGGCCUCCCCCCCCCUCCCCCCCCCCCCCGUUGCUCCUGACGAUUGAGUGAUGUGAGGUAACUCGAGGGCCCAGCAAGGGUUGAUCACUGCCUGUGCCCGGAAAGUUUCCGAACUGAUCAGUAGCGAAG
RNAcentral lists this ribosomal RNA (1276 nucleotides) under Dinophysis caudata. Its description in RNAcentral is "partial small subunit ribosomal RNA". It matches the Rfam family "Eukaryotic small subunit ribosomal RNA", at positions 510 to 1778 of the family's 1831-position model. Lineage: Eukaryota; Dinophyceae; Dinophysales; Dinophysaceae. The record is from RNAcentral.